Molecule: ribosomal RNA, 465 nt
Filed under: Vreelandella stevensii
Lineage: Bacteria; Pseudomonadati; Pseudomonadota; Gammaproteobacteria; Oceanospirillales; Halomonadaceae
Description: partial 16S ribosomal RNA
Rfam family: Bacterial small subunit ribosomal RNA
Source: RNAcentral
CCUACGGGUGGCAGCAGUGGGGAAUAUUGGACAAUGGGGGCAACCCUGAUCCAGCCAUGCCGCGUGUGUGAAGAAGGCCCUCGGGUUGUAAAGCACUUUCAGUGAGGAAGAACGCCUGGUGGUUAAUACCCAUCAGGAAAGACAUCACUCACAGAAGAAGCACCGGCUAACUCCGUGCCCGCAGCCGCGGUAAUACGGAGGGUGCGAGCGUUAAUCGGAAUUACUGGGCGUAAAGCGCGCGUAGGUGGCUUGAUAAGCCGGUUGUGAAAGCCCCGGGCUCAACCUGGGAACGGCAUCCGGAACUGUCAAGCUAGAGUGCAGGAGAGGAAGGUAGAAUUCCCGGUGUAGCGGUGAAAUGCGUAGAGAUCGGGAGGAAUACCAGUGGCGAAGGCGGCCUUCUGGACUGACACUGACACUGAGGUGCGAAAGCGUGGGUAGCAAACAGGAUUAGAUACCCCUGUAGUC